GCUAAUUCUAGAUGUAUUUGAGAUUGCAUGGUUCAUGAGACAAUUUCAUAGGCUGUGUGCUCUAAACGCUUGUGUAUAACCACCUUCACAGGGACUGGUGUCAAACCCUAGAACCCUUGCAUUUUUUGGAGCAGUAACUAUAUUUUUUUCUUCAAUACAAGAGAUAGGAAAGAAGGUGCUUUGGGAAAAAUUCGGUCUAUCUGCUCAAGUAUGCCUUAUAAAGCAAGAGGCUAUGGAUUUGUUCCAGAUUAAGAUACAUCAGGUUUGACCAGCCAAGACCCCCUGAAAGGUCUCCGAUGACACCAUGGCCCAGAUGAUCCAACAUCCAGAACAGUUUCAAGGAUCAAGCUGGUUUUGUGAUGAAGAGAACAUAAGAUAAUAAAGAAGAGAAGUGGUUACAGAAACUCCAUAUGUCUUACUGGCUAUGAGGCAUAGGGACAGAGAAGAAACACUCACUAGGUUAACAGAGCUCUGAGAAGAUACACAUAAUGCAUUGAUGGCCAACUUUUCUCUGAAAGAUGAAGAAGAAUACAACAGGUCCAGUGAUGUAAUUAGGUUUGUGCUACUGGGUUAGAUCUGCUUGUACACAGACGUAAUCCUAUUUUUUGAAAAGAGAGAAUAGAAAAAAAUUGCCACAAGUGCUUCUUUUCCCAUUUUAGGAAUUAACAUUUAUUCAUCUCUGGGAUUAUACUGGAGUUUGAGAAGUGGGUUUAAAAGUUUAAUUGAGAAUAAAGUAGCAAUGAUACAGAUCCAAAUAUGUUUAAAAAGCACCGCCACGAUUACAAUAUUCAGAAUCCAAGAAGGUUUAUUCCUAAUUGUUUUUGAGAGAUAAGGUGCUCCUAUCUCCCUGACAUCAGCGAAUAAGAAACUUUGGUGAACACAUGAUAGUAAUGCCAGUCUUCGCUCCUUGCAGUCUAAGGUAAAUCUCUCUUUAAUCCUAGCCUGCAGCCUGACUCUAAAACCAAUCCUGGCUCCAGGCAGGGGCACAAGAACGUGCUCCACGUCAUUUAAUUUUUGGCUUAGUUUUGAGUAUGCAUUGCUUUCAGUAUUAAUCCAACUGCAGAAUCAGUUUCCCUAGGAUCUGGUUCCUAAUUUGUUUUUCUCAUCCCCUCUUAAUGCCUGGACUUAAUAUGUCCUCAACCAGUUCUCCCCAUCUUACUGAGACUGUUCCAGGGAUUUUUUUUAAAGGACACUGGUUUCUGCACUAAACUAUAUUUUUAAAAUGAAUUUUUCCUUCUUUAGCAAUUAUAAACAUAUCUUUUAAUUAUUCACUGGAAAUCAAAUGGAGACCUAUGUAUGUAUAUAUGACAUAAAAACAUAAGCAUUUUUUUCUGGUUGCUUAAUUUGCAGUCUGAAGGGAGAACUUCUAUCUCCAGCCCUGAUCAUAAGUCAUAAUGGCAGCAGCAACAGACACAAUGUUGUGAAGGAUAUACUUGGCUUUUCUUUUCAUCCAUUUCUUCUAGGAUUGAGGUAUCCAGUAAAAAGCAAAAAGAUGUACCUUUAACUAUCAGUCACAACUCAGAGUAUCAGGUUUUAAAGAAGACUGGUCAUGCCGGCAGUACA
This is a long non-coding RNA of Peromyscus eremicus (cactus mouse), 1563 nucleotides long. RefSeq lists it as uncharacterized. The transcript is spliced from 3 exons. The record is from RefSeq and is a predicted model, not a curated record. NCBI's taxonomy places the organism in Eukaryota, Metazoa, Chordata, Mammalia, Rodentia, Cricetidae.